This 322-nucleotide unclassified non-coding RNA is filed under the name fungal sp. Its description in RNAcentral is "partial internal transcribed spacer region". The stretch from base 1 to 64 matches the Rfam family "Eukaryotic small subunit ribosomal RNA", at positions 1768 to 1831 of the family's 1831-position model. Lineage: Eukaryota; Fungi. The record is from RNAcentral.
CUUGUUUAGAGGAAGUAAAAGUCGUAACAAGGUUUCCGUAGGUGAACCUGCGGAAGGAUCAUUACCAAAUCCAAAUCCCAAACCCCAUGUGAACUAUUGUAUAGUCUGUCUUUGGGAGAGAAGAACAAAAAUAUAUAUUGUGUGAAAUUAAAACCUUCAUUCAAUUGUUUUUCUGAAUUUCUCUCCCAAUAGAGUCCGGCGCGACUUUAUUGUUGUGUCCAGAUUCGAAACCCCCUUUUAAACCACUUGAUUUUUCUGUUGGAAUUUUCUUUUAUUAAUUUUAAAUAAAAGACAACUUUUAACGGUGGAUCUCUUGGCUCGU